Molecule: ribosomal RNA, 486 nt
Filed under: Ceroplastes pseudoceriferus
Lineage: Eukaryota; Metazoa; Arthropoda; Insecta; Hemiptera; Coccidae
Description: SSU rRNA
Rfam family: Eukaryotic small subunit ribosomal RNA
Source: RNAcentral
AUGCAUGUCUCAGUGCAAGCCGUAUUAAGGCGAUACCGCGAAUGGCUCAAUAUAUCAGUUUUGGUUCCUUAGAUCUUACUCAGUUACUUGGAUAACUGUGGUAAUUCUAGAGCUAAUACAUGCAAUUAGAACUCUGACCAGUGAUGGGACGAGUGCUUUUAUUAGAUCAAAACCAAUCGACGGAGGGCCUCGCGUCCGAAGUCGUUAAUUUUGAUGAAUCUGGAUAACUUUUGCCGAUCGCACGGUCUAGAACCGGCGACGCAUCUUUCAAAUGUCUGCCUUAUCAACUUUCGAUGGUAGUUUCUGCGACUACCAUGGUUGUCACGGGUAACGGGGAAUCAGGGUUCGAUUCCGGAGAGGGAGCCUGAGAAACGGCUACCACAUCCAAGGAAGGCAGCAGGCGCGCAAAUUACCCACUCCCGGCACGGGGAGGUAGUGACGAAAAAUAACGAUACGGGACUCUUACGAGGCCUCGUAAUCGGAAUG